AUACGGAGGAUCCGAGCGUUAUCCGGAUUUAUUGGGUUUAAAGGGAGCGUAGGUGGGAUAUUAAGUCAGCUGUGAAAGUUUGGGGCUCAACCUUAAAAUUGCAGUUGAUACUGGUUUCCUUGAGUACGGUAUAGGUGGGCGGAAUUCGUGGUGUAGCGGUGAAAUGCAUAGAUAUGACGAAGAACACCGAUUGCGUAGGCAGCUGACCAGACCGCAAAUGACGCUCAUGCACGAAAGUGCGGGGAUCGAACAGGAUUAGAUACCCUGGUAGUCCGCACAGUAAACGAUGAAUACUUGUUUUCGGCGAUAUAAUGUCGGAGGCAAAGCGAAAGCGAUAAGUAUUCCACCUGGGGAGUACGCCGGCAACGGUGAAACUCAAAUGAAUUGACGGGG
RNAcentral lists this ribosomal RNA (393 nucleotides) under uncultured bacterium. RNAcentral describes it as "partial 16S ribosomal RNA". It matches the Rfam family "Bacterial small subunit ribosomal RNA", at positions 523 to 918 of the family's 1533-position model. The record is from RNAcentral.